Long non-coding RNA from Rhododendron vialii, 961 nucleotides. RefSeq lists it as uncharacterized. The record is from RefSeq and is a predicted model, not a curated record. The transcript has 2 exons. Lineage: Eukaryota; Viridiplantae; Streptophyta; Magnoliopsida; Ericales; Ericaceae.
AAGAUGCAUGAGUGUAUGGGUGGAUGUGUGUGUAGGGGAUAGUUUUCCCCAUUCUUAUAUCUCAACACAGGACACACACACACACCUCAAUCUCUCGUUCUCCCCACUCUCUCCCGAAACCCUCUCUUCGGCUCUCUCUCCCUCUCUUUUGCUCUCAACCAAAAACCCAUCAAAACAACAUGAAACCUACACAAACCCAUCUCCAUUUUAACUUCUAUAUGCAUUAUUGAGCCUUAAUUUCGUGGGUCAAGCUCGGGGAAGGAGGAACCGGCUGAUUUUGAAGUUUUGGAGGUUAGGGCUUUGUUUGAUCUCAUGAGUUCGGCUUUGAAACUUGAGGUAGGAAAAUCUAACUAAUUUUAUGUGUUUAUGAGUUGAUAUAGUGUUUGAGACUUGCUAUUGAUCAUUGUAUUGAGAUUUGUUGUUGAAUUCCUUUGAAAUCCCCAAAAUCUGCUGCUGUCCCGUUUUUCUGCUGCUGCCCAUUUUUCUGAGAUUUUUCCCAACUUCGAACAGUCAUAACUUCCUCGUCCGAUAUCGAAAACGCCCAAAUUAUAUAUCGAAUUCGAGAUCUUGAAGUCAGCUUUCCAGGGCCACCAAAAUCACCUUAAAACUCUAAGUACACAGAAAGUUAUGAUCAUAGGAGUGAAGGUACAAAUCAGAGGCUGUGACAUGGGUUGCUGUGCUUGCAUGCGAUCCUACAUUUUGAAAGCGACUUCAGAGAGUUAAUUUUGCAUCUCUUUUUAAACUUUAUCACCGGAUGAAGAAAUUGUAAUCUUAUUAUUAUUAUUAUUAUUAUUAUUAUUAUUAUUAUUUUUUGUUAAAUGAAGGAUCCCUGUAAACUCUUAACUUUCUUUUAACGUGAUCUAGUGGUUUUAGGCCGUUGGGCCAAAGAUGUAAAUUUGGGAAUGCUUUGGAGUUUGGAGAUGAUUUGCGAACAAGGGGAUUAGAAAUGGCUUUUGGGUAA